GGGAAAAUUAGUAUAAAAUGAAUAUAAUAAAAAUAAUUUUAAUUUAUAAUAUUAUAAUUAGGGGGGUUAUAGUAUUUUUUAAAGAAAAAAUUAUAUAUUUUAUAGUAAAUUAGUAUUGUGAAAGAAUUUUGAAAUAAUUGAAAAUUAAUUAUUAAAAAAGUAAAUUUUGAUUAUUGUAUCUUGUGUAUCAGAGUUUAUUAAUAAAGAAAUUUUUAAUAAAUAAUUCUCGAAUUUAAAAGAGUUAAUUAAUUAGAAAAUUUAUUGUAGCAAAAAUAUUUUUCAUAGUUAAUUAGAAAUGAAAUGUUAAUCGUUUUUAAAUAUAUCUAGUUUUUUUAGAAAAAAAUUUAAUUUAAAAUUUAAUUAAAAUAAAAAAAAAUUAAAUAAAAAAUUUUUUUAGGGUUAAAUUUAAUAUUUUAAGGGAUAAGCUUUAAUUUAAAUUUUUAUAAAGUAUAAAAUAAAUUUGAAAAUUUUAAAAUUUAUAUUAUUUAUAAAUUAUAGUUUUUUAUAAAUAAUUUCAUAAAAAAUAAAAUUUAAUUUAAGUUUAAUUUUUUAUAAAAAAGUAAAAUUUAAUUAAAUAAUUUUAUUUAUAAUGAUAAAAUUAGUAUAAAUAAUAAAUUAAUGUUAUAUUUAAUAUAUUUAUAAAAUUAAUAAUAAGGAAUUCGGCAAAAAUUUAUAUUCACUUGUUUAUCAAAAACAUGUCUUUUUGAUUAAUAAUUUAAAGUCUAAUCUGCCCACUGAUUAAAAUAAUUAAAGGGCUGCAGUAUUUUGACUGUACAAAGGUAGCAUAAUCAUUAGUCUCUUAAUUGGUGACUUGUAUGAAAGAUUGGAUGAGAUAUAAACUGUCUUAUAUUUAUUUUUAGAAUUUAAUUUUUUAAUUAAAAAGUUAAAAUAUUUUUAAAAGACGAGAAGACCCUAUAGAGUUUAAUAUAAAUUUUAAUUAGGGAUUUUUUUUAUUAAUUUAAUAUUUAAAUUAAAAUUUAUAUUUUGUUGGGGUGACAGAAAAAUAAAAAUAACUUUUUUUAUAUAUUAUAUAUAUAUAUAUAUAUAUAUAUAUUAAAUUAUUACAUAAAUAAAUGAUUAAAUGAUCCAUAAAUUGUGAUUAAAAGAUUAAAUUACCUUAGGGAUAACAGCGUAAUUUUUUUUUUUAGUUCAAAUAAGAAAAAAAGUUUGCGACCUCGAUGUUGGAUUAAGAUAAAAUUUAAAUGCAAAAGUUUAAAAUUUUGAUCUGUUCGAUCAUUAAAAUCUUACAUGAUCUGAGUUCAAACCGGUGUGAGCCAGGUUGGUUUCUAUCUUUAAAAAAUUAAAAUAUUUUAGUACGAAAGGAUUAAAUAUUUAAAAUAAUUUUAUUGUGGGGAAUUUUAUUAAAUU
Molecule: ribosomal RNA, 1368 nt
Filed under: Celypha flavipalpana
Lineage: Eukaryota; Metazoa; Arthropoda; Insecta; Lepidoptera; Tortricidae
Description: 16S ribosomal RNA
Source: RNAcentral